ACACGGGGGGUGCGAGCGUUGUUCGGAAUCACUGGGCGUAAAGCGCGUGUAGGCGGAAUAUUAAGUCAGAUGUGAAAGCCCACGGCUCAACCGUGGAACUGCAUUUGAAACUGGUAUUCUAGAGUGCAGGAGAGGGAAGGGGAAUUCCCGGUGUAGAGGUGAAAUUCGUAGAUAUCGGGAGGAAUACCGGUGGCGAAGGCGCCUUCCUGGACUGACACUGACGCUGAGACGCGAAAGCGUGGGUAGCAAACAGGAUUAGAAACCCCGGUAGUCC
RNAcentral lists this ribosomal RNA (274 nucleotides) under uncultured bacterium. Its description in RNAcentral is "partial 16S ribosomal RNA". It matches the Rfam family "Bacterial small subunit ribosomal RNA", at positions 523 to 796 of the family's 1533-position model. The record is from RNAcentral.